RNAcentral lists this ribosomal RNA (505 nucleotides) under uncultured bacterium. RNAcentral describes it as "bacterial SSU rRNA". It matches the Rfam family "Bacterial small subunit ribosomal RNA", at positions 32 to 518 of the family's 1533-position model. The record is from RNAcentral.
AACGCUGGCGGCGUGCUUAACACAUGCAAGUCGAACGCGAAAGGGACUUCGGUCCUGAGUAAAGUGGCGCACGGUGAGUAACGCGUAGAUAACCUGUCUUCAUGUCUGGAAUAAUACGCCGAAAGGGGUACUAAUACCGGAUAUUCUUGCUUUUCAUAAGUUAUGCAAGCAAAGGUGGCCUCUGCAUAUGCUACUGCAUGAAGAGGGGUCUGCGUACCAUUAGCUAGUAGGUGGGGUAAUGGCCUACCUAGGCGACGAUGGUUAGCGGGUCUGAGAGGAUGAUCCGCCACACUGGCACUGGAACACGGGCCAGACUCCUACGGGAGGCAGCAGUGAGGAAUAUUGCGCAAUGGGGGAAACCCUGACGCAGCGACGCCGCGUGAGUGAGGAAGGCCUUCGGGUCGUAAAGCUCUGUCAAGAGGAAAGAAGUGUACAAUGGCUAAUACCUGUUGUAUUUGACGGUACCUCUAAAGGAAGCACCGGCUAACUCCGUGCCAGCCGCGGC